GGUCUGUUUCAGACAAGCAGGAGGAGGUAACUUUAGGAUGUCAUCUCUCUCAGGAAGCCACAGACCAUGUGUUGCCCUGAUGAAACAGGCUGUUCAAGUGUUUGAUUAGCCUCCCUACAGGAGAGAAAGGCGGGACCUGCUGCUCUACAAGCCUGAACUCCAGUGGCCAGAGGUGCUCAGAUCCUAAUCUGACCAGACCUUUAUCUCAAAGAACAGUAAGGUUCAGUCUUAUAACCUCCAUUUUUACCAAAAAGAAAAUGGUUCAUCUGGCUUGGUCAUCAAGCCUUGCAGAAAGCACUUACAAAGCUAACACCCUGGGCUACCUCAGUGGGUGGUGAAAUGGGCAGCUCAGUGGAAGCCAUUUCCAAAACCUACUUUAUCAGUUGGAAAACACACAUGGACUGAGUAUUCCCAGAGGAGACGCCAUCAGCACGCAGUCCUUGCGAGGCUCCUUCCUCCCAGCUAGCUCUGACAGCUGCCUCAUUCUCUUGGUCAUCUUGAAACCCUAAGGCAAGCUUUGAGCUCAUAACCACAGCUACUAGGGAAAUAGCCAAACCCAUGAACUGCAUGACUAGAUACAUUUGAAAGAUGUGUUUAUAUAACAUUUUAAAAGAUGCAUAAAAUAUAGCUCUGCUGGUGCAUGGGUGCAGUGAAAGAGGACUUUCCAUCUUGCAUGAUCACGAGUGUGUUCUGGUUUGUUUGUUUGUUACGGAAAGUCUCAUUAGAAUGUAUGAGUUGGCACCAUAUGAGUGGCUGAAGCCACUGCCAUCUGUCAAUGGAAUCCACACACCUGUAGCCAGAUAGGUUACUUGGAAGCCAUGGCUGGUAGCAAAAAGUGCUACAAACUUGAUCUCCCAGUCUCCCAGAGCCAGCUCUACCUGCUCAGGACCAAACUAUGUACACUGAUACUUCAUGGCUGGUUGAGGUUCCUUGUGGAAGCUAACACGGAGCAUAAGUUAAUCUAACCCAAGGAGCAAAGAAGUGCUGCUAAUUACCAGGAUUUUAAAUUCUGGGUCAUCUCCAUCCAAAAAGCCAGCUUUUUGCACCUACUAGGUUCAUGAAUGACAUGAGUGGAACUUUUGUUCAUUUCUCUCAAGGCACAGAUAGAAAAACUAUUAGUAUUCUACAAGCUGAGUUCCAUACCACCACCAUCCCUUAACAUAAUUAUUGGUAAUCUGGAAACAUACGAUGACAGGUUUGCACCUCCUCAAGUUGACCAUUUCAGUAUUAUAGCCUAUGGCAUGGCCUACAGUUUAUAGUGUAUAUUUCAACUAGAUUGCAUUUAGUUAUCAUUUCAAGGACUCUAAAGAGGAAGAAAGGGAAAGCGCCCCACCUAGAAGGCCAUGUAAGCUGCCCAUUGCCAGGAAGAGUGUGGCUGUGGCCACAGUGGGCAGAGGUAGAAGGCAUGUGCUUUAAGUCCUCUCUCACUGACUCUGAGGCCAUAGCUAGGCAGAAGUCUUUUAAACAAGAUCAGCACCAGAUCCCUUCUGUAAAAUGUCUGCAAGGGACAAAAGAGGUCUGGCUUUUGGUGGUCCUUGUCCUAGUAAAAUGUCACUUGAUAUUGUGCAGCCUCAGCUCAGUGAAAUUUAUAAUCUGGCCUGAGUACUUCCGUCAUCUGUGCAGAUUCUGAAGUGAAGACACAGCUCAUUUAAACUCCAUAAAAGAGCCAUGAAAUGAACACCAAGUACACAGGAACAGAAUCCUAUGGUCAGGUUUGUGUGGGCAACAGUGACCUGGGCUAACUCACACCUUCAAAGACAAGAACCCAGUGACCAGUCCUAGCUAAGGGUUGUGAGAGCAAGAAUCCACAGAUCUACCCACUGUGCCUUCCUCUCCCUCCCCCAUGGUCCUCGUCCCUAAAGAGCCUCACAGAACAUCUCUUGUGAAAGCCCUGUUUAUCCAGUUAAUGAGCUGCCGAGAUAAUCUGUCCUCCAAAACAAGUGCUGGAUUAACAAAUGCCUGGAUGGAGAAGGGCUUUGCUGAGGCAGAAUGGUCCCAGAAGCCAUUCUGAGUCCUCUAAGAGCAUCUUGUGAGGCAUUAGGUUUAUGAUGGGCAUCCUAAAAGAAGCAGCAGCCAACUCUGCUCUCUUAAAAUGUCUCCUCCCUUGACAGACUUAAUGGUGGACUACUCACUCUUGACAAGUUGUUCCAAGCUGAGACAUGAUAGGGAAUUAGUGUCAUAUGAUACACAGACUGGUGGCUGACUCAGAAAGGGGCUAAGAUGGCUCCCUAAUGGUUUAAAGCUGUUGUGGCCUCAGCUGCCCGAGGAGCCGCAGCCUCAGGAAAUGCUAACUGCUGAGAUGGCUUGAGGGUUGCAGCAAACUGUACAUUAGGCUGUCCUGGGCCAGUGACUUGAAGUGGCAUGUACAAUAAUAGCUGUCCUACAAGAAAGCACUUCAUAAAGAUGGCAAACUUGACAGCCAAUCCUGCAAACACACAGCUACUAAUUAGCAGUUGAACUAGACUGCCCUUAAAUGAAAAUUGGAACACAGUCAUAUUUAACAUCAUGUCUGUGACAUGCCCCACCAUGCUGGCCAGACUUCCCUACUGAGAGCAACCUGGGAUACACUGAUCCAGAAUGGGUACCCACAUCAAAACUUUAGACCUCUAAAUGGAACUGGAAGCAAACCCACAUGACUACUACAGAGAUGCAAAUAACUGCGGGCCCUG
Molecule: long non-coding RNA, 2669 nt
Filed under: Mus musculus (house mouse)
Lineage: Eukaryota; Metazoa; Chordata; Mammalia; Rodentia; Muridae
Description: long non-coding RNA chr3:85654983-85657652
Source: RNAcentral